AUUUCCGAAUCGGCCAAUUUUUUCUCAUAAUAGCCUUGCAUGUAGACACAACAAUGAAGCCCUUGAAACCUGACACUUAACCACAUGGUGGUGGGCGAGUGGUUCUCGUUUGGUUGGAAGGAUCGCCCUGUGGGUCUAGGCCAGGGAUCGAUCCUCCCCAGACGCAGUUUCGCUCUCUCACUCCUGUGGCCACCUGGGAAUUUACCUGCGGACUUGCUCAGGCGCCCCAGACCACCAGUCUAUCAGGAGGCCCUUAAGUGGAGGCUUAAAAAUCUCUGUGACGCGGGCUUAGGCCCAGUGGGCUAGUCAGAUCACUGUGUGGUCUGGAUACUGGGUUAUCAAAAAAAAAACCUGACACUUUACGGUAUUAUAUGUAUGUUGGCAUUUUGUGAAGGAUCUCCUGUGGUGGUAAACAUGCACGUAUAGUUUUCUAGUUGCUAUAGAAUAAUGUAAUCAAUUGGAUGGGAAAGCCAGCCUUGUUCAAAUGUAACCAUUUUUUUGGAAGGUACUUUCUUGUUACUGCUAGCCUUUUGUGUUUGAUUUCUUAUUUUGCAGCUUG
Molecule: long non-coding RNA, 559 nt
Filed under: Arabidopsis lyrata
Lineage: Eukaryota; Viridiplantae; Streptophyta; Magnoliopsida; Brassicales; Brassicaceae
Description: long non-coding RNA (ALYR_LNC001129)
Source: RNAcentral